RNAcentral lists this ribosomal RNA (579 nucleotides) under uncultured bacterium. RNAcentral's name for it is "bacterial SSU rRNA". It matches the Rfam family "Bacterial small subunit ribosomal RNA", at positions 102 to 694 of the family's 1533-position model. The record is from RNAcentral.
ACGGGUGAGUAACACGUGAGUAACCUGCCCUUGUCUUUGGGAUAACCUUCGGAAACGGGGGCUAAUACCGGAUAUUCCCUUACCUGCGCAUGUGGGUUUGGGGAAAGUUUUUUCGGAUGGGGAUGGGCUCGCGGCCUAUCAGCUUGUUGGUGGGGUGAUGGCCUACCAAGGCGGUGACGGGUAGCCGGCCUGAGAGGGCGACCGGCCACACUGGGACUGAGACACGGCCCAGACUCCUACGGGAGGCAGCAGUGGGGAAUAUUGCACAAUGGACGCAAGUCUGAUGCAGCGACGCCGCGUGAGGGAUGACGGCCUUCGGGUUGUAAACCUCUUUCGCCAGGGACGAAGCGUGAGUGACGGUACCUGGAGAAGAAGCGCCGGCCAACUACGUGCCAGCAGCCGCGGUAAGACGUAGGGCGCAAGCGUUGUCCGGAUUUAUUGGGCGUAAAGAGCUCGUAGGCGGCUCAUUGCGUCGCCCGUGAAAACCUGGGGCUCAACUUCAGGAUUGCGGGCGAUACGGGUGGGCUGGAGUUCGGUAGGGGAGACUGGAAUUCCUGGUGUAGCGGUGAAAUGCGCAGA